AUGCAGCUUUCUCUCAGAGCUCAGUCUUCUCCAUACAGAAGGGUCAGGCUCGGGCAGCCUCUGCGUCACAUCCUUAAAGCCGCAGGAUCAGGGAGCAAGGCGCCCUGCCUGACCAGGUGAAGUCUUACGCAUUCUGAGAAAGGAUGCUCCGCUCUCGCUGGCCUGAGCCGUGUGCGCAUGCUUGGAGCAACCGCUACCCCUGCAGGUGGAGGGACGGGAGACGCAAGACCGCAGGGUAGAAAGUCCCCGGAUUCCUCUAGAGCCGAUUCUGUUCUUCAGUGGCUGCCAGCACAGAUGCUCCCUUACUGAGGAUGGGGCCACCCCAGUAGGCUCAUCGGAAGUCUGACGUGCGUUGAGUGCACCUGGCCAACGGAACCUCUGCCAGCCGCUCGGCACCUAGCCGAGUGUGGCUUAUCUGCCUGUGCACUGUGCGGCUGCCACCCAGCAACCCCAGUGAGGACUCACCAACCCAGGAAAGAUCAAAGUUGGAGAUUCAAGGAGCAGUUUCCACCAGACGUGAACCUCUUCUGUACCAUCGUGGAGGCCAAAAGUCUGCAAUGGACCGUUACAAACUGGGGCCGUUGCAUAGAAUGGCACACUCCUGCCCCACCCCCACUACGUCCAUGGCUUUGAAGAAGGGGAGUUAUUCUCAAUGGGAAUUAUCCACUAUAACACAAGCUCUACUGACUUAAUUAAAUUUAUUUAAAUAAUUUGAAAGCAUAGGAGCUGGGACCAGGCCAGGUCGCCCGCAUGACUGGCACAGACUCAAAUCCUCUCUGCCUCUGAGAGUGAGCUUUGGGAGCAGAGCUGGGCCUUACACCCAGAACCCUGAAAGAUUCGAUUCUCCAAACUGUUGGCGAGUGGGUCUUCCUUUAUCAUGAUGGACUUGCCUGGAAUUCCUGGACUCCUGUGUCUCCUAGGGCUUUCCUGGAAGAUAGCCCAUCAAACAGACAGUAGAAGGAGUUUGUGAAUGUUCCCUGUGUGAACAGGAAAGGCCCAUUAAGAGGCAGAACGACUUGCAGUCCAGCUGGGAGAUGGCCCAUAAACAGUGAAAGCGACCAAGGGACAAGGAUGAGGUGAACAGUAUCGGGAAACUUCUGAAAGUUCAUGGAAAAACGCAAUUGAAAGAACAUGCCCACCAUCAAUGGAGCGAAGAGACUGACUAGAGUGGGGAAAAUAUUUGCGAGCUACCUAUCUGACAGAGGAUUAACAUCCAGAAUUCAUCAGCAACUUACGCAAAAAACCACCCAUCCAGUUAAGAAAUGAACAAAGGACCUCAUCAGAUAUUUCUCAAAAGAAGAAAUACAAAUGGGCAACAUAUAUAUGAAAAAAUGCUCCACAUCACUAGACAUCAGGGAAAAGCCAAUGAACACCACAGUGCCGUAUUACGUCACUCCUGUCAGAAUGUCUGAAGGUCCAAAGACAGAGAGUACAAGUCCUGGCAAGCAUGUGGAGAAAGGGGAACACUGAUAGCCUGUUAAUGAGAAUGUAAAUUAGUGCAGCUACUGUGGAAAACAGGAGGGAGAUGCUUUUAAAAAUUAGAAACAGACCAGCCACGUGAUCCAGCAGUCCCACUACUGGGUAAUCCCAGAAGAUACGAACACAGUGCAUCCGAGAGAUCCCUGCACCACAUCCCAGAGCCGCUCACAGUAACCAAAAUAGGAAGACAACCAGAGAGUCCAUCAUUAGAUGAGUGGAUAAAGGCGAUUUGGUAUACACACAAUGGAAUAUGAUUCAGCUAUGAAAAACAGUGCAGCUCUACCAUUGAUGCUCAUAAAAUGAAAUUGCCUUGAAAAAGCAAAGGACUGAAUGGAAGCAAAUGGAAAACAUCAGGUUGAGUGAAACAAUCCAGACCCAAAAGGACAAAUACUCCACUUUCUCCCUUAUAUACGGGCGCUAACAUUUAUGAAUACGUAAAUAAAAAUGGAAGAAGACAAAGAAAUGCCUGUGUGUAUCAGUACUGCUGCAAAUGCAGUUUUGUCAAUCUUUGUUUUAGUGCUCUGUCAAACCAAUCAUUAAGGACUUUAUACUACUAUAGUUUCAAUGAUCUGUGAUUACUUUAAGAUUUACCAUAUAUGGGGAAAACAGUCAUCUUUCCAUUCGGUUACUUUUAUAGUCCUUGCCUAUAUUCCUGCUGUACUAGGGUCUUUUUGCUUGUUACACUUUUUAUUUGGUAGAGCAUUAAUUCCUUGAUUGUAAUGUAAGUUAAAAAUCUGUUAUCUCAAAAACUGAAAAAGGGGAGAGAGAAAAGGGGAGGAAGAGGGGAUGGAGAGAGAGAGGAAGGAAGUAUCGGUACAUUAGAAUUAUUUCUACGAACUACGCUGACGCUGUUAAGUAAAUCAACUAAAUAAAAAGUACUGAAACUUAUUAGAAUAAAUCCAUCAAAAAAGGAUACUGACCUUUUUCUACAAACUCUUUGAAGAAGCCUUACACAAUGCAACUCUGCAAAUGGGUAAACCACAAAGCAUACAAUUAAACACCAGUGAUGACACCAGCAACCCUAAGACCUACAGCAUCCCCUACCAGGGGUGGGAAACCUUUUUUUCUGCCAAGGACCAUUUGGUUAUCUCUAACAUCACUUGCCGGUCACACAGAAUCAUCGAGUUCUAAAUUAGCUUGCAGGAGCCAUUGACUUUUGAGUCCCAGCUGCGGCGGCCUUGGGAGAGCCAGAACAGAUGAUUUCACGGCCUUGUACGGUCUGGGGCUGGACCGACUUUUCCCACCCCUGCAACCUUGGGAAGUUAGCUGUGUUCCCUCUCACCGUGCCCUGUCCAAUGCCCACCAAAAAACCACUUAGAUCCCACCCUGGCUUUCUGUUCUCAAUCCUUUGCUUUUUGAAGGCAAUUGGAUUUCACGAGUGUAACUCCUUCAACAAUAUGAGGGUACUUCAAAGAGCUCACGGAUAAAUGGAAUUAAAAUUAAUACACAUGUAUCAAGUGUUUCACAAUAAGGAAGCUGAUAGCUGUUUGGUGAAGCAAUGGACAUGUGCAAACAGCUUUGACUAUUACAUGCAAUAGUUAGGGGAUUAUUUGCUGACAUAUAUGCGAUUAUACACUUGGAGUCAGAAAACUCCAUCAAAACCCAUUCCUGUGUUCAAAACAUGAAAAUUCCAGCUUUAAUUUGGGUAGAGACUGGUUCUCCAAUUUAGGAACAUUCUAGCACCUCAAACACUUCCUCUCCCAUUUUUGAACAUGUAUCAACCUAGUGGUUGGAGAGACAGAAUAUAUGAGAAAACUCAGUAGCCACAUUUUCCUUCUAGAUUUGACCUGAACUGUGAAUUUACCUUGGACUAUGUCUUAAUAGGCCAGUGUAGUCUUUUCUCUCUCAUUUCCCCAAUGAGGAGUCAUGUCCUUGUGAAGGGUAGUCUAGAAGUUCAGAACAGAGUCUCCACGUGAGCUCCUUCAAGACCCUCGCAAAGCUGAGCGGCUCACUGAACUGGAAUUUUGUCACAAGUGAUUUAACCUUGUUAAACAUCGCUCUCUUCACCUGUAACAGGAGCAGCAAAACACUACCUACCUUACGGAGCUGUGAAGAUGAAAUGAAAAAAGAAAUGCCUAUAAUAAAAAUAAAACAUCUCCAUUACACUUGGUCGUAAGCUGGCAGCUGGUAAACAUCCAGCAGAUGCUAAUUACUAUAAUUAUUGUGUCAGCACAGAUUCUCACACAGUAGUAAAAGCUGGUGAAAAAAUUGUCCUUAAAGAUCACAGACAAGAAAGUGACUAGGUCUCUCGAUGACCUUGCGUGUAUACCUAUGUGUGAGUUCCAGAACGUGCAAAACGACAGCCAAACACUCCCAAUGAGUGUCCACCCUCUCAACCAGCAACACUUCCCGGGACUGUGAGUGUGUUCCAAUGCAGUAGGAAGCAGGUGUUUGAUACGCCCAACAAUCAACAUAUCUAUAGUUGUUUGUCGUGACAUACUGCAGUUGAAACAAAGAACUAGCAGUGGAACUCUAUGUACUUGAGAUUCUAUGAUAGUUCUUAGAAUCUACUGCAUCUGAAAGCACAAAUCCAUCCACUUUGUAAACCUAACACACGUGUAUCCGUAACUACAGAUAGACACUUUCCUUAUAACUUUGUUCACAUUCUACUAUUUCCCUCAGCAUAGAGCUCACCCGGUGGUGAAGGGACCCAACUAUUGACUUGACAAAGAGCAUUAAGGCAAGAAAAAAAGAACUAAAAAUAUUCAACUACGUCAUCCGCCACAGUGCCUUUCUUGUGGGAUCACAGUCCCUCUCCUAUGGUGGGGUCCAGGAAGUCUCCACAUUGAGCCAUUCUGACCACACAUUCCCCACUUGGAUGACAGACGCAUCUGUGACCAGCACCUGCACACUCUAACAUCUACCCUAGAAUUCCCCUAAGAUGUGUAAGUCGAGUCUAAAUCAAAUGAUAGAAUUACAAAUGAGCCAUCUAUUUACAUAAGCCAGAUCAUCACACCUUUGUAAGUAUAUGUUUAGAAAUAUGUUUACAGCUAUAUAAGGCCUUUUUCCCCCUCUGAGUUAUAGGUAGCAUGAUAUAUGGGCGUGACCUAAAAGCUCUUAGUGCGACUCCUACUUGUGUUUCUGGGAGUAGGAUGAGCCUGUGGAGGCCCAGGUCUUCUCCUGCAACAGGGCAAUGGGUACCAAGUUAUGGCUGCCUAGGAUAUCGCAGCCAAGCUUGGCCAAGCUACCAAGGCAACUGUGGAUUCAGUAACAUUGGACAUCAUGGGAAUGUCUGAUACUUUCCUCACAUUAGCACUGUUUCUUUCUUGAAUGUGAUCUAUAGUACAUUUCUUUAAAAGCAACUUCUUUAAAAAAAAGAGGUUUCAAGGUUUCUGUUGCAUUUAUGUGAACUACGUUGAGUCCCAGUGCUAGAAGGUGCCAGGGGGCUUUUGUGAAUGCCAGGCACGCCUAGGUGGGUGCAUUGGUUGCCUCUUCCACACCCCACACUGCUCUGUGAGGCUGGAAGACUUCUCACUACAAAAGACGCUAAAGAUUCAGAGUGAAGUCACCUCCUGAGGUCACCUGGCACUCAGUGGCACAGCAGAAUCCGAAACUGUGUGAUGGAUGAGCUGGGAUUUCCUGAGCGCACUUCCCGGAGGUCUCUGCUGGGAUUUCAGGAAUAUUCUCUGUAGGAAGAUGUAGCGUAUGAAAAAUCGGGCUGUUUGAGGAUAAUGGUUAUCAUAAUUUGUAAGGCAGAGUGAAGCGAUGCUUUUCUGACUGAAAAAUGAAGGCGAUACCUCAACAUUCAGGCUCACGCUGGGCAGAAUUCACGACAGAACUUCAGUUCUUUAUAUUCAGGGGUUUGGUUCUGCAAUCAGUCACUGGAGUUAGCACACAAAUAAGGAAGAGGGAAGUAGAUGGUAUGAUGCAAACCAUAAGUCAUAUAGAUAUGUUUUUUUAAGAAAACUACAGUGUCUUAUGAUUUUUCUUCUUUCCUUUUUCUACCCGUGGGAGUCAUUUUGGUCACUGAAGAUGUGCUUUUCACCAAGAAGACAUCCUUCUCCUUGGCUUACCCUCUUUUGCAAAUGCACGUAAACACACACACAUUCUUGGACCUCACUUUUCAGAGAGCCUCAAAGCCACCUGGAGAGAAGCAGCGCAGGCAGCCAAUCAAUGGGCAUAAUGAGAGGGACAGAGAGGGCAGGAGGCUGCCCACCACAGACCUGAGGGCACUGCUGCUGGACAAACCCGACAGGUUUCCAAGACACUAAUGGAGUGUAUGAAAAAGUCAUACCCAGUCUGAGUGAGAUAUUUUAAAAUGGACCUUUACGUAACACAUCAUCUUCCUUCUGGUCAGAAAGCACACAUUUGUUUGGAUCGCGAGAUGAGGAAGUUGUCUUGGAUGACCUGGGCCUAAGCUAAAUCCCAUGAGUGCUUUCCAGGAGAGGACCAGAGCCCAGAGCUGGGAGAGGGAGGAGCAGCAAGAAGGAGGUGACCUGCUCUUGCUGCUUUGCAAGAGGGAAGAACCAGAUCAGAGAAGGAACACAGGCAACCUCUACCAGAUGGAGCGCCCUCAGCCGACAGCCACAGAAAGCUGAGUUCUGGCCAGCCGCCUAAGCCGAUGAGCCCACAGCAGCCCCUGUCUGAGGCUUCCCCGAAAUGAGUUCUCUCCCAGAGUGUCCAGUGAGGAGGGCAGCCCAGUCCACACUUGGACCCCAGCCCUGUCCCACUGGUCCUGGCCUUCCCAUCCACACAACGGUGAGCUGAGAAACCGACUGCAUCAGUCAGAGCAACAACAGAAAAUCACACUCCUUCCACAGGCUCUGUGCUACUCCAAGCUGUACCAGCAGUGGCCAGGGCCGUCUUCCGGCAUCUCCACAGGCAGAGAUGUGCACCUGUCGGCUUUGGGAGAACGCGCACCCGGAAGCCUGUUUCUGCUUGUCUCACAACAUGCAUCUUUACAUUGGUGGGUAUUUGAUUCCACUGAUUGUCUGUUCCUGGCUUUUGCCCACAUUUCUACAGGGUUGUUGGUCUUUUUUUUCUAAUAGAAUCCUAAGGGCUGUUUGUACAUUGAGGAGGUGAGAACUUUGUGUGUGAGAACUGCAACUUAAGUUACCAAUUGGUUCAUUUGUAAGUAAAUUGAAGGGUGCACACUGGCCUCCUUUUCAUUGUUUUCUUUGAUUCCCAUGAAUCUUUCAUUAGAUGGUGGUAGGUCUCUGGAUAGCAUGAGCUAAGAUAACACCACGGGAACACAUUUUUGCAGAAAGAAAUAAACAAAAAGCAAAGACAGAGGAACGGUUGACAAAGAUCUUUCUGCCUUCACCUUCUCUCCUCCAGUCUGAAUUACUCUGCUCAUGGCUCAUUUCUAAUGCUGCGACCCGAGGUCCAGGAGUAGCUCCCAAUGCUACAGUGGCCACUGCCCGGGGGAAAAAGACAGCGCAUUAUAAUACCACGUUUGCAGCAACGAGAGCGUUUUGUCACACAUCCUUCAAUUAAACGUGCAUGCUUCCACGUACAGCUGUCUGCGACACACCGCACGAACACUGGGCGCUUCGUGUCAGCAGAGGCGUGGGUAUCAUUAUUCCCAGGGAAAUGCUGACAGGCCCUUCUCUCCACUGACACCAGCCAGCUCAGGUUAUAAUUACCCAGGAUGCAUCACUGCUUUCCCCUGCUAUCCAUGCAGCCAGAGCUCUCGCUUAGGAGGCAGUGCUGUGUUUAUAGGCAAAGAGUUGCUCCUUUUUAAUUCAAACCAGAUUUGCUGGGAGCUGGGAGGGGCAGGGGGACUAGCGAAGAAAAACUGUUAUAAUUAGAAGAUCGCAAGGAGAAACAAUAAACAUUUAAAACGAUCAGGAGGUGAGCAGCAUCCAGCCCGAAACCCAAGGCCAGCGGUGAAGGCAGGCGUUGCUGACAAAGAUAUCAGACUAGGUUCAUUAACUGCCCUUACUGCUUUCAGAAUAUUUUAAAUGCGGCAAUUUACAUUAAAAUGGAUUUAGUGGCGCCAUCUUCUCAUUACUGUCAGUUUACAUUUGGGUUCAUAAAGUAUAAUUGUAAAUAAAAUAUGCUUUUCAUUACAAUGUCUAUUUAGUAGAAGAUGGUAGGAAAUUAGAAGCAUAAUCGGGAUUUAAAUUAUUAAUUCGGUGAUAUU
Oryctolagus cuniculus (rabbit) is the source of this 7564-nucleotide non-coding RNA. Lineage: Eukaryota; Metazoa; Chordata; Mammalia; Lagomorpha; Leporidae. The record is from RefSeq and is a predicted model, not a curated record.